AAGGAAUAUUGCUCAAUGGGAGAAAUCCUGAAGCAGCAACGCCGCGUGGAGGAUGAAGGGUCUAUGACUUGUAAACUCCUGUAAAGAAGGAAAAAAUUCCCAUUUGAUGGGAGAUGAUGGUACUUCUGGAGUAAGCCCCGGCUAACUACGUGCCAGCAGCCGCGGUAAUACGUAGGGGGCAAGCGUUGUCCGGAUUUACUGGGUGUAAAGGGUGCUCAGGCGGAUUUGUAAGUCAGAGGUGAAAUCUUACAGCUUAACUGUGAAACUGCCUUUGAUACUGCAAGCCUAGAGUAUGGAAGAGAGUGAUGGAAUAUCUGGUGUAGCAGUGAAAUGCGUAGAUAUCAGAUAGAACACCUAUGCCGAAGGCAGUCACUUGGUCCAUUACUGACGCUAAAGCACGAAAGCGUGGGUAGCAAACA
This 419-nucleotide ribosomal RNA is filed under the name uncultured bacterium. RNAcentral describes it as "bacterial SSU rRNA". It matches the Rfam family "Bacterial small subunit ribosomal RNA", at positions 356 to 774 of the family's 1533-position model. The record is from RNAcentral.